UCAUAUGCAGUUAACUUCUCUCCCAGUGCCUGCAGGGGAAGCUAACACCACCUCCAGUUUACAUCUCACCUGCUCAGCCACCCCCGCGGGAAGAGCAUGUCUCAUCCUGGAUUCACACACAGCAAGUGGCUGCAGAGGGGGAAAUGAGCAGCACCCAGAAAUAAAGAUGAAUGCCAAGUUUGUUCAACAUUUAUUGAGAACCUGACUCCAUGUCUGCUGCUAUGCUGAAAUAUGAGGAUACAUGUGUGUGUUUCUUCUAGUUUUUCAAGGCUGAGGCACACUGAGGGAGUAAAGAGAUCAUAAAUGAAGCUCUCACCAGCAUUUGCAUUCAGGUUAUUGUGUAAAUGCCGAGUUUUCAUUCCUCUUGGGUGGAUGUGUAGGAGUGACGUAUCUGAGUCUCAGGAUCAUUUAUGUUUAACUUUGUAAGAAACUUACCAGCUGCUUUCUGAAGUGAUUGUCAUUGUUCAUUCUUAACAGCAGUGUUGGGAAAUAAUAGUUGCUCCGCAUCUCUGUCACUACUUGGUAAUGUUGACAACUAGUUUUUGAAAUGUAUGUAAGCCUGUUUCUGUGUGUGU
Cavia porcellus (domestic guinea pig) is the source of this 575-nucleotide long non-coding RNA. RefSeq lists it as uncharacterized. The record is from RefSeq and is a predicted model, not a curated record. The transcript is spliced from 3 exons. Lineage: Eukaryota; Metazoa; Chordata; Mammalia; Rodentia; Caviidae.